This is a non-coding RNA of Potamilus streckersoni, 74 nucleotides long. NCBI's taxonomy places the organism in Eukaryota, Metazoa, Mollusca, Bivalvia, Unionida, Unionidae. The record is from the annotation of a GenBank genome assembly.
CACUCUGGUGGCCUAUUGGUUAGAGUGUCCACCUUUGAUGCGGGAGGUCAUAGGUUCAAUCCCCGGUUGAGUCA